GACUGCUCGGGGUUAGGCUGGGCAUCGGUCAGCGAGUGGUCUGGAUGUGAAAUGACAGUGCCAUUAUUGUUAUCAUCGUUCCUUAUCUGCUGAAGGACAUUUGAGCUAAAGCAGUGCAAAACUCUUCUGACAAAUUCCAAAACCAUGGUCAAGACACCUAACUUCAGAUCUACUUAAAAAGUGAAAGUUACUGCUACUCUUGUUGGUGCUGAAGAAUGGGUCAUGUCGUCCUUUUUGUAUACUUGAAUGGAUUGUGGCAUUCCAGAUCCAUUUCAAGUUGUGCAACAGCACUUCACAUACUGUAGCUGAAGUGCCUUAAUUCAGUGAUCAGACUGUGACCCACAGGCCAUUUUUAGAAAUCUACAGAAGUAACUGCAGCUUUGCCAAUACACCAUCUACUCAGGUAAAGAAGGACAGCUAAGUGGUGAGAAGACUGCUCCACUACUCCAUACUCUCCUGGAGAAGCAUAACAGAUUCAGGCAGGAUUUCUGAUAAAUCUCUGCUUAUUUUCAGCCUUGUUACCUGAGGCAGGAGAGAGGUUUGAAACUCCAUGCCUCAAGUGCCUGUACAGACUUGCUGCCUAUCUGGUUUAAUUCCCCCAGUUUCUUCCCUUACCAGAGCUCAUAUACAACAAAAUUCUUGGUCAUACUGUUCCUACCCAUGGGCAUCUGGAGGCCUUACACACUGAAUAAAAAGAAGAAGGCCACUAGAGAAGGACAGAAAGAGUAUCUGAUUGCACAGGUCAAGACCAAUGAAAGCAGUUACUCUGGCCUUUAGUACAUUCUAUGCAUGUUUCCUCUUCAAGUCCUUUAAGAAUUUGUUCAUUUAUGCCUGAGAAGUGAUAAUGACCAAAGAGGAAAGGGAAUUACUCAAACUGGGCCCCUCACAUAGCAAAAGCCUGUGACUUGAGAACAUGCAUACAGAUCUCCUUCCUUGCUCUGUUAGAUAAAGGCCUGCUGAGCCAACUAGGUUUAACUCUCCAGUCAAUGUUUGCAGAAUGAAUAGUGUGAACUGCCUUGAGACGGAUUUGCCACCCGCAGCUAGGAGCUUCCUUGCUGUUUAAAGCAAGGCCAGAGGACUGCCAGUGUCAUUGAGCUGUGGCUGAGGAAGAUGCAACUGAAGAAAUAUUAGAGCAGCUCCAGCCUCCUAUUUCUUACAGAGCUCUGUGCGAGUGUGUAUCUCCACAGAGCCAUCUUGAAAUAAUUUCCAAAACUCCGCAGAUUUUAGAAAUUUACUUUAUCACAGACUUUGGUAAAUUGCAUUGUUUUAAAUAUAGACAAUAUUUAUGCUUGCAUUAGAUAUAAAAUAAAAGGCAGCAAUAGUUCUA
Molecule: non-coding RNA, 1327 nt
Organism: Anas platyrhynchos (mallard)
Lineage: Eukaryota; Metazoa; Chordata; Aves; Anseriformes; Anatidae
Source: RefSeq, a predicted model, not a curated record